RNAcentral lists this unclassified non-coding RNA (2811 nucleotides) under Hevea brasiliensis (rubber tree). Lineage: Eukaryota; Viridiplantae; Streptophyta; Magnoliopsida; Malpighiales; Euphorbiaceae. The record is from RNAcentral.
AAGAACCUUGUCCAAUUCUUGAAGCAGCUUCACUUGAUUUUCCCCUUGCUGGUGACAGCAAUUUGUAUUGAACUAAAUGACCACAAGGAGUGUAGACCAAUAGGUGCUCCAAAGCAUUAACAUUUUUCAAAAGAGAAGGUUGCAAAUCUCGAGGCACACAGCUAUGAAAAACAGCAGCAAUAGCACCAGAUGGAACUGAGGCCUUUCCUGCUGCAGAAGAUGCAGCAUUACUAACUGUGUUAAGCCAGCCAGUGUUAUUAUUUCUUAUUCUGCUCACCACAGACAGGGUAACAGGUGAUGGUGGUGAUGCAGGAAAAGAUUGCUGGUUUACCAUGGAAGGAGUAGACCACCAUGGCAAAGAUAAAACUGUUGAAAGGCUAGGCCCAUCAACAAGUGGAUUGUGAAUUUGAAGAACAUUCUCACCACCAAAAGGAGAAAGCAUGAAAAUAUGGCAAGUACCCCUGGAUGAAACAAUGGCAAUCCACUGACUACAGUGACUAAAGCAAAUGUCUUGUAUCACCUGUAUAAUAAGCACAAAGAGAAAAUCUCUGUGAACAUACAAAAAAAUAACAAUGUUUAAAAGACAGAUGAAGCCAUAACAUACAGCUGAUGUAAUGCCACGAUGGAGCUUAUAAAGGUGCACAUGAGAAGAGCUCCAUUCAUAGCUCUUAUUGCCUGAUGCACUGUGAGAGGAGGGCAUAAUCCGAAAAAUAUUUAUGUUAUUCCCAUGAAUUGAGGCAGUAACCAAAAGUGUACCACUUGGAUCAAAACAAAGAGCAGAAAUUGGACUCGUAUGAGCUCUAAAUUGUGAUAGCACAGCUCCCGAAACAAUAUCUUUAACAACCACCUGCAAUACACCACUUUCAUAAGAAAAAUUCUUACAUAUGGUUGAUUUCAAAGUACUAACAGGACAUACAUUAAAUAGUAUAAUUAGAAAUCUGACACAUCCCUAUAGUACUUGGUAUAUCUCAAAAUUGUAGAGCCCUAUUCAAAAUCUCAGAAGAUCCUUUUCCAGGGAAACUUAAAUGCAUGAUCCCAUAGACAAAAUGGAAUAUACAAGUCAAAGAAAUUAAAAUUCAUUUCCAAGUUGCAUGAUAUUUUGCUUCAUUUAAAAUUUCAGUUCUCUGCUUGUUGUAAACUAACCAAUCCAGCAUUAUCUGUUUCUGCAGAAUGUGUUGCACCCCGACCAACUUUCCAACUUGAAUUUGAAUAUACAGGAGAGUUAGAACCAUCGGGGAUAAGAUCUUGACAAUAUCUAGACACAGUCUUGUAGCCCAUGUCUCCCAAAUUUAUUAACCCGCUAGCUAUUUGCUUACUAGAUUCCAUUGCAUAACGGGCCAUCAAACUCCCACUGCCUGGGGAAGUCGAUGGACUGACAACCAGUGGAGGAGUAAGACUUUGUGGACUUAAGCGGCCUGUGUUUGACACCAGUGGAUUGUCAGAAGCAUAAGCUAACCACCUGGGACCCACAGCCAUUGGACCAUAUCCAAUAUUAACUCCAUUCAUUCCUUGGCCUCCCAACUGAGGGACAGGAUAAGUGAGGACACUGAAUUUGUUCUCCAGAGUCAAAGCAUCAAAACAGUAUAUCUGCCAACAUAAUAUAACGAGGCAUUAGCCAUGAUUAAAUUAUUUAGGUUCAAAUGUUAAUUUAGUCAGAUUUAUUAAACUAACAUAAUCUUCAAUUUAGACAGAUAAAAAAACUUCCAGCAACCAACUUCUCAAUCAAAUAGCAUCACUCCCGCAAUUAGUCUAAUCUCACUCUUCUUGCUUUCAAAACAAAUGGUGUACAUUCCACAUACACUAGCCUUUACUUGUGGAAAUUUUAACACAAGUGUAUCCUUACUUGUGUUGCUAGGCCUACGGCCACUAUAUGUAGACUGCAUCUAACCAUAAACACAGUUGAACGAAAUCUCAGAUAAUGAACAUAAUUAUGAGAUCGUAGUGAGUAAAACUGCACAGUAGUAGCAGAUAUGGAAAGGUUUCCCACUUGAGGCUCAUUAUAGCCAUCUCUGACUAAACCAUCUCUCCCACCAAACACUGGACCUGAGCUCUUUAAUUCAGCACAUGAAACAACUAAGAGCAAAGGAUGUGAUGCUCUGAAUCCUUCACGGCCCUCAGAUUUGGCAGGGAGGGGCUGCAUCUGUAAAAAUGUAACUGGAUUAUCGCGCUUUGAAACAAGUUCAAUGACAUCAGAGGCAUCUUCAACAUCAAUGACUUGAAAGCCAUUGGAGUACCCAAGUAAUAGAACAUGUUUGAAGGAAGAUGGUCCAAGCUCUAGUUGGUCAAAGGAAGCCCAAAGUACCUGGUCUUUGUGGUCUUGAUUAUCACCGGAGAUAGAAGCGGCAACGGAAGCGCUGGCGGUGCGGACACCGGAAGACGCAGUUUUAAUGCAAGAAGAAAUGAAUUUCAAAGAAUUUGGGAGAAAGCGAUUGUUGUUGGACUUGGUACUAUUAUUUGCCUUGCUGUUAUUCUUCAUAAUAAAUCCAAAAAUGUUAAGCCAAAAUUCACCGGCGACCGGGAAGUUAACGGGAAACAGGAAGUGUCGCCAGUGCGGUCAGAAAUAGCAUAAAGAGUAGAGUGCCGACGAGAGAAAUUAAAUAAGCUCCGGCGAGAAACUGGAUUGGAUGGUGUUUUGGUGUGGUGGUUUUGCCCUUCUCCAGAAAACAAAGAGAGAGAAAAGACGGUUCUUUGCUUUUGUAUUGUGUGUUUUCCUGUUGAUGGAAAUUUGUGUUUAUUUAAAAAAAAUAAAAAUAAAAAGGAAAAAGAAAAAUUUCAGAACAAACACUCACACACUGCGGCAAGUGCUUGGAU